UGAGGGAAAGUUGCAAAGAACUUUGAAGAGAGAGUUCAAGAGUACGUGAAACUGCUCAGGGGCAAACGGGUGGGCCCUCGAAGUCCGCGCGGAGAGGGAUUCAGUCGCGAGCCGCGAGGGGUGCCGCAGUCGAAAAGUCCGGACUCCGGAGGGAGUCGCGGCGAUGGCACCGUCCUCCGGACGCGCGACGCAAUUUCCUCUCCCGAAGGACGCCGCAGCCGGUGGGGCGUCGGCAGUGAGGACUCGGCCGGUAGGUGGCGUGGAUCCGGUCUCGCACCGCGGUCCCGUGUCUGCCCGGCCGGACGUCCGUGCGCGACGCCCGACCGAGGGAACCGUCGAUCAGUUUCGACGUGCCGUGGCCUCGCCAAGCGAGCGGGACCCCGAGUCAGGGAAGGCGUUCGGCCUCCGCGUCACCGUGCGGUGUCCGGAGUCGUUCGCGCCCCGUUGGACCGGGUCGACCCGCGGCGUGUGCACUACGGCUUGCGGCGAGUAGGUCGGUAACCCACCCGACCCGUCUUGAAACACGGACCAAGGAGUCUAACAUGUGCGCGAGUCAGUGGGACUCGAACAAGCCCACGGGCAGAACGAAAGUGAAAAUUGUCGGGAUCCCCGUCCCUCGGGGCGGGGCGCACCGACGGCCUGGCGCGACCCACUUACGUGGAAGGGGCCGGUGCCGGAGCGUACACGUUGGGACCCGAAAGAUGGUGAACUAUGCCCGGGCAGGUCGAAGCUAGAGGAAACUCUGGUGGAGGACCGCAGCGGUUCUGACGUGCAAAUCGAUCGUCGAACCUAGG
RNAcentral lists this ribosomal RNA (794 nucleotides) under Pholcus agadir. Its description in RNAcentral is "partial 28S ribosomal RNA". It matches the Rfam family "Eukaryotic large subunit ribosomal RNA", at positions 354 to 915 of the family's 3401-position model. Lineage: Eukaryota; Metazoa; Arthropoda; Arachnida; Araneae; Pholcidae. The record is from RNAcentral.